AUCCUGGCUCAGAUUGAACGCUGGCGGCAUGCCUUACACAUGCAAGUCGAACGGUAGAGUAGCAAUACUUGAGAGUGGCGAACGGGUGAGUAAUAUAUCGGAACGUGCCCAGUCGUGGGGGAUAACGUAGCGAAAGCUACGCUAAUACCGCAUACGAUCUAUGGAUGAAAGCGGGGGAUCGCAAGACCUCGCGCGAUUGGAGCGGCCGAUAUCAGAUUAGGUAGUUGGUGAGGUAAAGGCUCACCAAGCCGACGAUCUGUAGCUGGUCUGAGAGGACGACCAGCCACACUGGGACUGAGACACGGCCCAGACUCCUACGGGAGGCAGCAGUGGGGAAUAUUGGACAAUGGGCGAAAGCCUGAUCCAGCCAUGCCGCGUGUGUGAAGAAGGUCUUCGGAUUGUAAAGCACUUUAAGUUGGGAGGAAGGGUAGUAACCUAAUACGUUGCUACUUUGACGUUACCGACAGAAUAAGCACCGGCUAACUUCGUG
This 490-nucleotide ribosomal RNA is filed under the name uncultured bacterium. RNAcentral describes it as "bacterial SSU rRNA". It matches the Rfam family "Bacterial small subunit ribosomal RNA", at positions 16 to 507 of the family's 1533-position model. The record is from RNAcentral.